This 433-nucleotide ribosomal RNA is filed under the name uncultured bacterium. RNAcentral describes it as "partial 16S ribosomal RNA". It matches the Rfam family "Bacterial small subunit ribosomal RNA", at positions 29 to 507 of the family's 1533-position model. The record is from RNAcentral.
AACGAACGCUGGCGGCAUGCCUAACACAUGCAAGUCGAACGAAGCCUUCGGGCUUAGUGGCGCACGGGUGCGUAACGCGUGGGAAUCUGCCCCUUGCUUCGGAAUAACAGUUAGAAAUGACUGCUAAUACCGGAUGAAGUCUUCGGACCAAAGAUUUAUCGGCAAGGGAUGAGCCCGCGUAGGAUUAGGUAGUUGGUGGGGUAAAGGCCUACCAAGCCGACGAUCCUUAGCUGGUCUGAGAGGAUGAUCAGCCACACUGGGACUGAGACACGGCCCAGACUCCUACGGGAAGCAGCAGUGGGGAAUAUUGGACAAUGGACGCGAGUCUGAUCCAGCAAUGCCGCGUGAGUGAUGAAGGCCUUAGGGUUGUAAAGCUCUUUUACCAGGGAUGAUAAUGACAGUACCUGGAGAAUAAGCUCCGGCUAACUCCGUG